GGCCAUCGCGGAAACGUUUUGACCGGUAGAGCGAACGACUAGAGGUACCGGGGCCGUAACGGCCUCGACCUAUUCUCGAACUCCGAACGGGCAAGGAGCCGGGGUCGCCCGAUCGGACCCCGGACGUGAAGUCGACGAUGGUCGGUGGGCUGGUUUUGGUAAGCAGAACGGGCGAUUCGGGAUGAACCGGAAGCGGGGAGAAAGGGCCCGAGAUUGCGUCGACGCGGAUCCCGAAAAGGGCGUCGAUCCGUCGCGACAGCGGGACGGUGGUCAUGGAAGUCGAAAUCCGCUAAGAAGCGUGUAAAAACGUACCCGCCCAACGGAUCGGCCCCGAAAAUUGAUGGCGCUCGAACGCAACCCUCGAACCCCGCCGACGGAGGCUAGGGGAGGCCCCGUCGAGUAGGCGGACGCGCGGGUCGCUUCGACGCUCCCGCGCGAGCGGGGGCGGAGCGGCCCGUGGUGCAGAUCUUGGUGGUAGUAGCGAUCACCCAGGCGAG
Molecule: ribosomal RNA, 497 nt
Filed under: uncultured eukaryote
Lineage: Eukaryota
Description: eukaryotic LSU rRNA
Rfam family: Eukaryotic large subunit ribosomal RNA
Source: RNAcentral